This 1045-nucleotide long non-coding RNA is filed under the name Capra hircus (goat). Its description in RNAcentral is "lncRNA (ENSCHIG00010016486.1)". Lineage: Eukaryota; Metazoa; Chordata; Mammalia; Artiodactyla; Bovidae. The record is from RNAcentral.
AUGCCUUUGCGUUUCUCCUCGUCUUUCUUUAAAGGGACCCAGUUGAAGACUCUUUUCCUUGGAUUUGACAGAAUCUCAGCUAUGACCAGUAUUUGCAAGCAGCUUGAGGAGUCAUUUACUUCUCUUUCUCUCUUCCUAACACCUCCUAGUAUAGGACUGUUGCUGCAGUUCAGUUGGAUACCUCUUUUGGAUGACCCACCUAGUGAUGGAGGAGAGGACAGGCUACAAUCUUCCUUUCCAGAAGGCCUGCUGGAUGGCCCUAGGGACCUAGACCUUGCCUCUGGAUGAAGUCAGAAGAGCCGUACCCUCUUACAGGGACUUCCUAUUGGUCUUCUUGGGACUAAGUCUAGCAAAAUAAAUACUAUACCAAUGACAGUUUUUUGUUUGUUUUGGGGGGUUAUUUUGGCCAUGCCAUGCAGCAUGUGGGAUCUUGGUUCCCUGACCAGGGAUUGAACUGAUAAUCCCUGCAGUGGAAACAUGGAGUCUUAACCACUGGACCACCAGGGAACUCCUACCAAUGACAGUUUUAAAAUUCCUUUUGGAAGUGGAAAGAAGGGUCCACCAUGGAAGUCCAGGGUUCUGCAAUAAGGGCUCCCUGUCUCACUUUGGGGAGGCCAUGUGGCUUAGUGGAAAGCCUCUUAAAGUAAACAGUUUCUAUGGAUGAUCAGUUUUGGCUAUGUGGCUGCUCUGUGAAAGGAGAUUAAUAAAACUUACAUCAGAACACAGAAUUACUGCAGAACUUGCAUUGUUCUAAGAAUGAAAUGAGUUGAUGCACAGAAAGCUCCCUGAACAGUGCCAAGACUACAAUGGAUUUUCAGUGAAGGAACAUUGUACUCUGCACUUUCAACCAUCUUGCACAACUUCUAGAACAAUUUAUCUUAAGAAAUGAUCAAGAAUUUUGGACUACUUGUCUCUGAAAUUAACAUAUUGGAUUGAACAUCAGACAUUUUGCUCUAUUCCUCCUGCCUUGAACCUCGUCCCUAGCCUUGGUUUCUACCACCUCUGAUAUCUGCUGUUGGCCAAACCUCUUCCAGGAAGGCUUGGC